UUACUUACCUGGCAGGGGGAAUACCAUGAUCAGGAAGGUAGAUUCCAAAAGGUGAGUCUCUUCCAUUGCACACUUCGUUUGGGUUGACCAUUGUGAUUUCUGUAAAUGUGGGAAACUCAACACCAUAAUUUAUGGUAGUGGGGGAUUACAUUUGAGCAAUCCCUUG
Small nuclear RNA from Protopterus annectens (West African lungfish), 166 nucleotides. RefSeq annotates it as U1 spliceosomal RNA. The record is from RefSeq and is a predicted model, not a curated record. The transcript has a single exon. NCBI's taxonomy places the organism in Eukaryota, Metazoa, Chordata, Ceratodontiformes, Protopteridae.